CCUACGGGUGGCAGCAGUGGGGAAUAUUGGACAAUGGGGGGAACCCUGAUCCAGCGACGCCGCGUGAGUGCAGAAGUAUUUCGGUUUGUACAGCUCUAUCAGCAGGGCAGAAAGAAAUGACGGUACCUGUCUUAGAAGCUCCGGCUAACUACGUGCAAGCAUCCGCGGUAAAACGUAGGGGGCAAGCGUUAUCCGGAUUUACUGGGUGUAAAGGGAGCGUAGACGGCGAAGCAAGUAUGAAGUGAAAGGCGGGGGCCCAACCCCCGGACUGCUUUGGAAACUGUAUGGCUGGAGGGCAGGAGAGGUAAGUGGAAGUCCUAGUGUAGCGGUGAAAUGCGUAGAUAUUAGGAGGAACACCAGUGGCGAAGGCGGCUUACUGGACUGUAACUGACGUUGAGGCUCGAAAGCGUGGGGAGCAAACAGGAUUAGAUACCCCAGUAGUC
This 443-nucleotide ribosomal RNA is filed under the name uncultured bacterium. RNAcentral describes it as "partial 16S ribosomal RNA". It matches the Rfam family "Bacterial small subunit ribosomal RNA", at positions 338 to 795 of the family's 1533-position model. The record is from RNAcentral.